GCUGGGAUUAGGCAUGCAAGUCGGACGGUAGGGCUUUAUCGUAAGAUAGAGUUUGAGAGUGGCGAACGGGUGAGUAACACGUAGGAAUCUACCCUUAAGACGGGGACAACCCAGGGAAACUUGGGCUAAUACCGGAUGAGAGUGCGAGAGAUUGCAUUUAAAAGGAUGGCGAAAGUUGUCGCUUAGGGAUGAGCCUGCGGUCUAUUAGUUAGUUGGUGAGGUAAGAGCUCACCAAGGCGAUGAUAGAUAGGCGGCCUUAACGGGUGGUCGCCCACACUGGGAUUGAGAUACGGCCCAGACUCCUACGGGAGGCAGCAGUCGAGAAUAGUCUACAAUGGCCGGAAGGCUGAUAGUGCGACGCCGCGUGAACGAGGGAGCCCUUCGGGGUGUAAAGUUCUUUUCUAUACGAGCAGUGCUAUAUAUAUGGAUAGUAUAUAUAGAGGGAUAGUAGUAUAGGAAUAAGCAACGGCUAACUCCGUGCCAGCAGCCGCGGUAACACGGGGGUUGCGAGCGUUGUCCGGAAUUACUAGGCGUAAAGGGCAGGUAGGCGGAUCUACGAGUUUUUUGUUAAAGGCUACGGCUCAACUGUAGUAGAGCAGGAGAUACUGUAGGUCUGGAAUGCGGUAGGGGAAGACAGAAUUCCUGGUGUAGCGGUGGAAUGAGCAGAGAUCAGGAGGAAUACCGAAGGCGAAGGCAGUCUUCUAGGCCGUAAUUGACGCUUAACUGCGAAGGUGUGGGGAUCAAACAGGAUUAGAUACCCUGGUAGUCCACACAGUAAACGAUAAUCACUAGAUGUCGGGUUCUAGAUGGAUUCGGUGUCGGAGCUAACGCGAUAAGUGAUUCGCCUGGGGAGUACGAUCGCAAGGUUGAAACUCAAAGGAAUUGACGGGGGCUCACACAAGCGGUGG
This 908-nucleotide ribosomal RNA is filed under the name uncultured bacterium. RNAcentral's name for it is "bacterial SSU rRNA". It matches the Rfam family "Bacterial small subunit ribosomal RNA", at positions 42 to 935 of the family's 1533-position model. The record is from RNAcentral.